RNAcentral lists this transfer RNA (86 nucleotides) under Lentisphaeria bacterium. RNAcentral describes it as "tRNA-Leu". It matches the Rfam family "tRNA". From Rfam's summary of the family: Transfer RNA (tRNA) molecules are approximately 80 nucleotides in length. Their secondary structure includes four short double-helical elements and three loops (D, anti-codon, and T loops). Lineage: Bacteria; Pseudomonadati; Lentisphaerota; Lentisphaeria. The record is from RNAcentral. RNAcentral also lists the same sequence under 1 other name.
GCCGAAGUGGCGGAAUGGCAGACGCACUAGACUCAAAAUCUGGCGCUCUUACGGGCGUAAGGGUUCAAGUCCCUUCUUCGGCACCA